GCCUCGAUAGCUCAGUUGGGAGAGCGUUAGACUGAAGAUCUAAAGGCCACCAGUUCGAUCCUGGUUCGGGGCA
Molecule: transfer RNA, 73 nt
Filed under: Caenorhabditis japonica
Lineage: Eukaryota; Metazoa; Nematoda; Chromadorea; Rhabditida; Rhabditidae
Description: tRNA-Phe (GAA) (tRNA-Phe-GAA-3-1)
Rfam family: tRNA
About the family: Transfer RNA (tRNA) molecules are approximately 80 nucleotides in length. Their secondary structure includes four short double-helical elements and three loops (D, anti-codon, and T loops). Further hydrogen bonds mediate the characteristic L-shaped molecular structure. tRNAs have two regions of fundamental functional importance: the anti-codon, which is responsible for specific mRNA codon recognition, and the 3' end, to which the tRNAs corresponding amino acid is attached (by aminoacyl-tRNA synthetases). tRNAs cope with the degeneracy of the genetic code in two manners: having more than one tRNA (with a specific anti-codon) for a particular amino acid; and 'wobble' base-pairing, i.e. permitting non-standard base-pairing at the 3rd anti-codon position.
Source: Rfam by way of RNAcentral